AUUCGGUCUUCAACAUGUUGUGCUGUGCUCUAGAUCCGAUACUGGAGUGAUCAAAAGGAGCAGUGGACUGUACCAAACGCAAAAAGGGGGGUUCGGCUAGAAAACGCACCGUUUCGACAAGAAACAGUCAAGCUCGGCCCCCCCUCCUCGUGUAAUUUACCGGCCUACACGGUAAAACGACCACGGGCAGGAGUUUCCAGUACCUGGUUGACUGGGAAAGUUAGGGCCCGGAGGAGAGGUGCUGGGUUCCCUCUAGAGACAUCCUGGAUCCAGCCCUCAUCACUAUCUUCCACCGCCGACACCCCGUUCUACCGGGUAUGCGUCCAGUCCUCCCGGUUUUGACCCUUGCCUGUUUCUGGACUCUGUACCCACCUGCCUGACCUUGACCACGAGCCUGUCUGCCACUCUGUACCUCCUGGACUCUGAUCUGGUUUUGACCUUUUUGCCUGUCCACAACUAGUCUCUUGC
Oncorhynchus keta (chum salmon) is the source of this 468-nucleotide long non-coding RNA. RefSeq lists it as uncharacterized. The record is from RefSeq and is a predicted model, not a curated record. Lineage: Eukaryota; Metazoa; Chordata; Actinopteri; Salmoniformes; Salmonidae. The transcript has 3 exons.